Molecule: ribosomal RNA, 497 nt
Filed under: uncultured bacterium
Lineage: Bacteria
Description: partial 16S ribosomal RNA
Rfam family: Bacterial small subunit ribosomal RNA
Source: RNAcentral
GAUGAACGCUGGCGGCGUGCCUAAUACAUGCAAGUCGAGCGAACAGACGAGGAGCUUGCUCCUCUGACGUUAGCGGCGGACGGGUGAGUAACACGUGGAUAACCUACCUAUAAGACUGGGAUAACUUCGGGAAACUGGAGCUAAUACCGGAUAAUAUAUUGAACCGCAUGGUUCAAUAGUGAAAGACGGUUUUGCUGUCACUUAUAGAUGGAUCCGCGCCGCAUUAGCUAGUUGGUAAGGUAACGGCUUACCAAGGCGACGAUGCGUAGCCGACCUGAGAGGGUGAUCGGCCACACUGGAACUUAGACACGGUCCAGACUCCUACGGGACGCAGCAGUAGGGAAUCUUCCGCAAUGGGCGAACGCUUGACGGAGCAACGCCGCGUGAGUGAUGAAGGUCUUCGGAUCGUAAAACUCUGUUAUUAGGGAAGAACAAAUGUGUAAGUAACUAUGCACGUCUUGACGGUACCUAAUCAGAAAGCCACGGCUAACUACGUG